UCUGAGUAAGCUGAAGGAGAUCUCUCGUCUGACCAACUAGAGGACAUCUCCCACACGCCCAACCUGGACUUGGUGGACACCAGUUACAACCACCUGCUGUCCCGAGAGGGGCUGAAAGGACUAGGGUGGCUCAUGCAGCUGGACCUGCACUGGAACCAGCUGACCCGGGCCAGGGAGGAGACGGCUGUGCUCCGGAAACACGCCCCCGCACAGCUGCGACUCGACUGAGCACCCGUUACUAUCCCUGGCACAGGGCUUUGGGAAACUUAAUCAUUCUGGAUCUGUACAGGAAUCCUUCAGUGGAGAAACUGGAAAACUAUGGGAAAUAUGUGGUGUUCCACUUCCCCUCUCUAAAGGCACUGGAUGGGACUGCAGUGAUAUGUUUACAUCAUAAUCAAAGCAGUUCUGAAUCUGUUUGUUGAAUUGAGAGAAACAGAAGUGAUGAGUCAUUGAGAUCUAUAGAAAAUGGCGGCUUGUGAGAUUGCCAAGGAUGUGUUUGGUGGAUGCCUGACCCCUGACAUGGUGGCGGAGAAACUGGGACACUAACUAUUCUGACAUCGCCGAUCUCAACCUGCAAUCCUGUGCAAUCAGGAUGGUGGAUCUGACACCAGAAGACCUGUUCUUCAACCUGCACAGUGUCAACCUAGAGCACAACAACCUCACCUCCUUCAGUGGCCGUGUCUGCCUGACCAACAUCAAGGCACUGUGUUUAAACAAUAACCACAGAGUCCAUCCUGCCUAGGCAGAAGGCCCAGGCCCACCUGACUAACAGACAAGUUGUCUGAAAGAACCAUAAAUCCAGAGAAUGCCAGACUUUGACGACAAAAUCUGCCCACGAAGGACCGCCACGCCACCUUCUUGUUCCUGUGAGCACAGCACAACAAGGGAAGUGGACCUUGCGGACAGCCUGGAGCCACUGAUGGGCAGCCUGGAGGUGCUGCAUUUGAGCCACAAUGGCAUCUCCAAUUAUUGCCAAUCUGCAGCUCAGCAGGCUCACCAAUCUCAAAGCACUCUUCCUCCAAGGUAAUGAGAUCAGACAGGUGGAGGGCUGGGAGGGGCUGCACUAGUUGCAGGAGCUGGUCUUGGACCCGAACCGGAUCAAGAUCCUUCUUUGGUCAGGCUGUCCUGCUGGAGCUGCACCUGGUAGAGAACCGCCUCCGGGAGUUCAACCACCUCUUACCAAAAUGAGGAGGCUUUUCCUGGGCAUGAACAAACUACAGGGGGCAAGGCAAACCCUCCAUAGGCCGGUGGUGGUACACCUCUCCAGGCUGAAGGUUCUGGAUGAAGUGAUGGUCACCCUGGAGGAGAGGACCAGGGCUGAGCUACUCUGCACAGAGGCCCAGAUGAGAAACAAAACUGCCAACCACGCCCACAUUGCCCAGGCAGUGAGGACCUUCAGGCAGAUCAGAAGAAUGGCAAGCACCCUGCCAACCACCGGCCUCCUGCCGAACGGGUACAGGGCCCUUAUCACCUACCCCAACCAAUAGGACAGUAGAGCGGUGGUGCUCCUAAACCCGCAAUCAAAGCCCCCAGUACAGCAAUGGGAUGCUCCUGAUGCUCCUGUGUGUGCAAUUGCACUGACAGAGAAGUGGUGAGAAUGUUGUUCAACUCAAAUCAGCUGAGCUUCUGCUCUAUAGACUGUAUAUACAGUGCCCUGCGAAAGUAUUCGGCCCCCUUGAACUUUGCG
Oncorhynchus tshawytscha (Chinook salmon) is the source of this 1687-nucleotide long non-coding RNA. Lineage: Eukaryota; Metazoa; Chordata; Actinopteri; Salmoniformes; Salmonidae. The record is from Ensembl.